This 368-nucleotide ribosomal RNA is filed under the name uncultured bacterium. RNAcentral's name for it is "bacterial SSU rRNA". It matches the Rfam family "Bacterial small subunit ribosomal RNA", at positions 28 to 399 of the family's 1533-position model. The record is from RNAcentral.
AUUGAACGCUGGCGGCAUGCUUUACACAUGCAAGUCGAACGGCAGCGGGGCUUCGGUCCGCCGGCGAGUGGCGAACGGGUGAGUAAUGCAUCGGAACGUGCCCAGUCGUGGGGGAUAACACAUCGAAAGAUGUGCUAAUACCGCAUACGUCCUGAGGGAGAAAGCGGGGGGAUCUUCGGACCUCGCGCGAUUGGAGCGGCCGAUGUCGGAUUAGCUAGUUGGUGGGUAAAGGCCCACCAAGGCGACGAUCCGUAGCGGGUCUGAGAGGAUGAUCCGCCACACUGGGACUGAGACACGGCCCAGACUCCUACGGGAGGCAGCAGUGGGGAAUUUUGGACAAUGGGGGCAACCCUGAUCCAGCCAUGCCG